GGAAGUUUGCCUUUGAACACACCGCUCUCUCCCUGCACUGUAUGUCACCUCAUACUGUAUGGCUCAUUUUGAGCAGCGAGUAACAACAUCACUGGAGGUUUGUGUGAGGUACAGCAUACAUGAAAGGCAACAGCGCCCACUAUUUAUGCAUAGUGCGUGGCACAAAUCGUUAUUGCACCCUUCAGAUUUGAGACUGAUAGACAGAAGAACCAACCAACAGUGGAUAAUGGAGGACCAUCCGUGACUGAGUGCAAUGAAAGUCCAUUGAUUCUUCAUCACGAAAAUGCAGCAGCACCUGAGGGGAGCGGCCCCUUACCGUUGUCUGAGUCUGUGAGCUCUGACUAAAUCAACAAAAUGAACACAAAUGUUUUAAAAUGUUCUUAGAAAUGUUCUUAAUCUUGUUGUUUCUUCGUAUCUUCUAUUGUGUAAUUUCUUCACCCAAGAUUAUUUUGGGGAAGUUUGUGCUUUUUACUUUUAUUUCAUUCCAAAUAAUUAUGACAUAUUCUGUCAGCAGUCCUCUUCUGUCUGUGAUCUUGUAUAUACAUCCAGUGCAUGGCUAGAGCAUAUCUCCUGUUAGUAUCUUUAGUGAUGUUCAGGAUAUUUUUGAAAUAUACUUUCACUGUGGGUUUAUUCAGGACAUCCCUGCCCUGAGCACCGAUAUGGCUAACAAGAUGAAGCUAGAGGUGUUUUUCGUGUAGCGUACUCCAAACACUUGUAAGGCAACACUAACAUCUACUAAAUGUCAUGUUUCAGGAAGGUGCAGUAAAUAAGAUAUUCUACUUAACAUGUCACUGCCAAUGAAGAAGUUAUUAGUCAUAAGUAGUAGUCCUGUGCAAGCAAAUGUAUUUGUGUGUUGGCAAAAACAAGAAAAUAAUAUUCCUCAUUUUGCAUUCUUGACUACUUUAAAAGACACACAUGCUUUGUAAACUAGAGAUUGUGCCCUCACACUUGUCACACACAUUUUGCAUUGAACAUUUUAAGCA
Long non-coding RNA from Myxocyprinus asiaticus (Chinese sucker), 983 nucleotides. RefSeq lists it as uncharacterized. The record is from RefSeq and is a predicted model, not a curated record. Lineage: Eukaryota; Metazoa; Chordata; Actinopteri; Cypriniformes; Catostomidae. The transcript has 3 exons.